RNAcentral lists this ribosomal RNA (403 nucleotides) under uncultured bacterium. RNAcentral describes it as "bacterial SSU rRNA". It matches the Rfam family "Bacterial small subunit ribosomal RNA", at positions 28 to 435 of the family's 1533-position model. The record is from RNAcentral.
GACGAACGCUGGCGGCGUGCUUAACACAUGCAAGUCGAGCGGUAAGGCCCUUUCGGGGGUACACGAGCGGCGAACGGGUGAGUAACACGUGGGUAACCUGCCCUCAGCUCUGGGAUAAGCCCGGGAAACUGGGUCUAAUACCGGAUAUGACCUCGUAUCGCAUGGUGCGGGGUGGAAAGUGUCAGCGGCUGAGGAUGGGCCCGCGGCCUAUCAGCUUGUUGGUGGGGUGGUGGCCACCAAGGCGACGACGGGUAGCCGGCCUGAGAGGGCGACCGGCCACACUGGGACUGAGAUAUGGCCCAGACUCCUACGGGAGGCAGCAGUGGGGAAUCUUGCGCAAUGGGCGAAAGCCUGACGCAGCGACGCCGCGUGAGGGAUGACGGCCUGGUGUAACGUACUUCUA